This is a non-coding RNA of Podarcis lilfordi (Lilford's wall lizard), 69 nucleotides long. NCBI's taxonomy places the organism in Eukaryota, Metazoa, Chordata, Lepidosauria, Squamata, Lacertidae. The record is from the annotation of a GenBank genome assembly.
GGUAGCUCGGCAAUAGAGCAUCUGCUUUGAAUGUAGAAGGCUCCAGGUUCAAAUCCUGAGGGAGAGACA